RNAcentral lists this ribosomal RNA (305 nucleotides) under uncultured bacterium. RNAcentral's name for it is "bacterial SSU rRNA". It matches the Rfam family "Bacterial small subunit ribosomal RNA", at positions 334 to 656 of the family's 1533-position model. The record is from RNAcentral.
UCUACCUACGGGGCGCAGCAGUGGGGGAUAUUGCACAAUGGGGGCAACCCUGAUGCAGCGACGCCGCGUGAGCGAUGGAGUACUUCGGUAUGUAAAGCUCUGUCAGCAGGGAAGAGAAUGACGGUACCUGACCAAGAAGCCCCGGCUAAAUACGUGCCAGCAGCCGCGGUAAUACGUAGGGGGCAAGCGUUAUCCGGAUUUACUGGGUGUAAAGGGAGCGUAGACGGCGAUGCAAGCCAGAUGUGAAAGCCCGGGGCUCAACCCCGGGACUGCAUUUGGAACUGUGUGGCUGGCGUGUCGGAGAG